CAGCCGCUCGCCCUUCUUCUACCCGCCGCCGCCGCCAUAGCCGACUCGAAGCUCCGCACCCUCACCAAGCGCCUCGACCCCGACCUCGCCCCGCGCACCUGCACCACCGAGCUCGGUCACGCCGUGACGCCGUCGAUCGCCACCACGAUGUCGCCCGCAACUGCGUCGCCCGAGCGUCUCGUCCUCGGCACCACCUCGGCACUCGCACCGCGCCCUCGCCGAGCAGCAGCAGAGCCGCGGCCAUGGCCUCGCCCUGCCGACGCCGCCAAGCACCACUGCGCCCGCCUCGGCCGUGCCCCUACCUCUGUGUCAAGCUUCAUCACCACGCGGGGGUCAGCCGCGGUGCCGUCCUCGCUGCGCAGCGGCCUCGCCCGGCGACGUCGAGCCCGCUGCCCUCGCCGCGUCGAGCUUCGACCACGGCCGGCCGCGUGGACGCCACAGCCCGGCCGAGCCUCUGCCUCGCCACCGUGGGAGUCGCCGCGGCCACGACGCCUUCAGCCCCGGCGCCCCUCCGCGUCUACGACGGUGUCGACCGCGAGCCCCCGUGCUGUCAUGGAGCUUACCUCGUCGAGCCGACACGCCGUCGACAGAGCCACCGAUGCCGCGCGCCGGGCACCAGAGCAAGCCCCUUCGCCGAGCACCCGAUGCGCCCCGUUGCCGCGGCCACGCCAGGACAUCGCCAUGGUCACCGCGUCAGCGCCGGCCGUGGUGAUCGCGACCCCGACCACGACGCCGUGCUCAUCUUGCCACGGUGACCGCGAACUUCCCUUUUGCUGGCUGCCGAUCACCACUGAACGUGCAGCAGCGGCAGCACCACCCCGCGCGAAGCUCUUCUCUGCCGCCGGUGAGCCACCAGUGCCCAAGUGCCCUCCUUGCUAGCUUUCUGUUUUGCCUUGCUGAAACCGGCCUUUGUGCCGUGUUCUUCACUGUACAGGGAUGCUGCACCCAUGUCGUGCCACUUGCCGGAGCCGUUGGACUUAACAUCGCUGCUGUUGGAGCACCGAACCUCGAGGCGUUGCCGAACCCCAAGACUUCUCUUUCAGAUGCACCCCGGCCACUUGCAGCAAGCCGCGACCAAGCUGUAGAAGCCCUCUGCCAUCCUCGCCCGCAAGGUCGAACCUUGAACCUAGCCGACAUCGUCUCCGACGUUGGCAAAACCCUUGCCGUUCAUUUCGAUAUCAUACAUGCCAUGUAUCUUGCUCAUGUAUGCAUUAUGAUCUAUCUGCAUGACCAUUUGUUCAUCUAUCCAUGUCAUGCACUUGUUACAUGAUUAUUCAUCUCAUAUCUCGUUUAAUGCGCGAUCUAUCUUCGUCUAUAUCUCUGCCUGUGCCGUGCCUUCGUGCCGGUCUAUUUAUCUAUCUCUAUCUCUUUUGGUCGCUAUGGAAAUGUGCUACUCCGAGUCGUCGUCUUGUUAGUGUUGCAAUUUGUGCUUUUGUUCUUGUCGUUGUGGACCGUGCCGUCGAGCCGGUUGAGAGAGUGACGUGUUUGGAUGUUGCGAUCGCGAGUUCGUCUCGCCAUGGCCGUAAUGCCGAGCAUGUCCCUUCUCUCGUAUUUCUGUUGUUCCUUCUUUUGUUAUUUGCAUGCCUGAGGACCGAGCCUUCGAGCCGGUUAGGGAAAAUGGUGGAGCGAUCGAUCAUUUCGAUCGUGGGUUCGUCCCGCCGUGAUCGCGAUGCCGAGCGUAACUCAUUCCCUGUGAUUAGUUGUCUUCGCUGCGCUACGGUCGUUAGCUCCUAUUCCCGUCCCUCGAACGUGGUCAUCGUGGACUCGAUGUCGUUAACGACGCGGUUCUUACCCGCACACUCGAGACCUAAAUGACCUAGUCUAGUGGGAUACGAAUUAGGGGACAACCUUCGUAGAACUAUCGGAGAAACUCGUUAGGUGAAGCUCAUGGCCGCGAGUCCACCUUGCCAUGGCCAUUGGGCUUUACCCCAUUUCUCCCGUGUUUAUCCUAACCACCUCGUAUGCUUGUACCACUUCGACUAUAGCAUUCCCUCGGACCUAGCGGUGACAACCACAUCGCUAUGGGCCUUAGGAAUAGCCUUGUGCUGAUUUAGAUGCACAGUCAUGGUGCCCUACAAGUGGGUUGGGAUCGUGGGGUCGUAUUCCUUUUAUCCAACCGUCGUUGUUCCAUGAUGAGUUGGUCGAAAGAGUAUGGACUCCAUUCUUCUUCUCUCUUGUUCUCAAUCCCGUCGAUCCAGUAAGAUGGGGAUUAAGCCCCUUUUGCUUGUUUGAUGUUUUGUUUCCAAUCCCGCGAUUCCCGCCGUUGCUAUGGCGAGCGGAUCAAAGGAAGGUGAAUCCCGUGUCUUUUUCCGCCUUUUUGGUUCUUCGUGCUUAAACUCUUGUAUGCUUGUACCUAUAUCGAUCGUAGCAUUUCUUUGGUUCUUGUGGUGACAACCGCACCGCAAAGAACCUUAGUGAUGUCAUAGUGCAUUUAGUGCACCUAGGUUGUGGUACCCUACAAGUGGUUUGAGUACUCGUGUUCCUUAUGUGUCACUCUUUCUAAUCCCCCGUCUCUUACCAUGGCGAGUGGAUGGGAAGAAGUAGACCACUCCCCUUUUCUUCUUUCCUUGUUCCACCCUCUCUUGGCUCUCGCCAACUACAAUGGCGUAUGGAUUGAGAGAGACCGGAACUUCGCGUGCUCAUAGUCUUUUCGAUUCUUGUCGAUCUCCGUGAUGCUUGGAUCGAAGAGCCACUACCUAUGGUGUUUGCUUAUGAUAAGUUAGGGUCUAAGCCAAUUAUUAAAGUCGUACAGGUUGACUUAGUCGACCCAGGAAGUACCGGCUAGGCUAAGACUCCAGCUUGUACUUAGUGAACAACCAUUCCCAUUUCUUUUAGCCCAAAGAUCGGACAUCCGCCGAGAGGGCUAAGCCGUUUUCCUUUCGUUGCUCUUUUAGUGUAGUUGUUCCUCAGUGUUAUGUCGUCUCUUUUCGUAGUCUUUCGAGGUCUAGUGGUUUGAUUGUUUCGCCUUGUUUGUCGCUUUCGAGGUAGUCGCUUCGAGGUUAGCGUUGAUCGGACCAGGACCAGUUGAAGGAAGAACAUGUAGAAAGGAGGAUCUUGGAUGAGUACAACUACAAGUGAACUGAGGAUCUUGGAAAUGUCACUCGACAGGUGCCACGUCCCACCCAACCUCGUAGAAUCCUAUUAGACAUGCAAUAUUAUAGAUGCUAGUGCUUUACUUUUAUGCAAAUGAACUAUGAUAGGUUGCAUGGUAGAAAUGCUUGUGAGCCAUUGCCUUGUUGCAACCUAUAACCCUCGCACACCCGCUGUUAGGUUAGAUGCUUGCAUACUACUUGCCACUGCUUCUACUACGCAUUAUAUCUGUGAUGUGAUGCAUUGUGGAGGAUUGGAUGUGAGUGGAUAAGGCACGUGUGCCGAUAACUGGUUAAGAAAUGGAUAAUGGAUAUGGGGAGAUCUUGGCGUGUGUCUUGGGUGUGUGGUGAGGGUCGAGUCGACCGAGCAGGAUUUACGACGAGUCUUGGGACAAGUCUUGCCGGGGAAUGCUACCUGGGCGUUCUCCAUGAGAGAUACCUGUGGCGGGUACAUGUGACAGGGAGAGGUCCCGGAGUGGAGUGUCUUCGUGGGACGAAGCACCGGGAUGGGAGGUGCUGUAUAGCACGGGGUAGCCGGGUGUCCCGUCGAGAGGGGCAUCGGCUGGCCCCUCGUGAAGAUGUCCUGUUCGGUUACCCUAAGGACUGAGAUGUUCUGAGAACCGGUUCGUAGGAAGCCUUACACGCCACUCGCCUUAUUAUGGUGCGGGACGGAUGUACGACCAGCUAGUGCGGUGCCACUACUACUAGGUUGAUAGCGGAUAGUGUAGGGAGGUACGGGCAUGAGGACCCACACCCUCCUAAGACAGCGUAGUGACCUUUGGGGGCCCGGUACUACGCCUCACAGUCUCAGCAUGCCGGUGGUACUCCGGUAUGGCCCCAGUCCUGAGUGGUAGGGUGGCAUCGUAUUUAGUUGGAAGGCAGCCCGGUAUCAGCCUAGACGAGCCGGUUCGUCGAUGAUGGUGAUCUUGUGGUUAGUGUAAACCUCUGCAGAGUUUGGUUGAUCGAUCGAUACAUAUGCCGUCUUCUCGGCUAUGGACCUUUCCUAUGUUCCGCUUCGCUUGACUAGUGAGAGGAGUCCCUUCUAUCUUCCCCUGGGUUUGUGUUGGAUCCGGCGUUGGCCGUUGAGGCAAGGCACGAGCGGGAGUCGUACUUGCCGCCUAGAGAGUGAGAGUGUGGUGAGAUGUGUGUGAUGGGAUGGAUGGAUGGAUGUGUGGAUGAGAUGGAUUAAAACUUGAUGAAUUAUUAUUAUUAAAAUAUUGAUGAACUUGCAUAGAAAAAACUACAGCCAUAUAUAGGCCUCUUGAUCUACCCUUUUGCAUUCCACUUACCACAAAGCUUACGCAAAAGCAUAGGGUGGGAGCCAGUGGCCAGUACAAAUCGUACUGAAAAUUGUUUAGCAGGUUUUGAACGUGAUCUAUGACGAUAACUACGGAGAAUAGAAGGAUUAGGUGGUCUCGUUCCUGCGCUCAAGUUUGGUUCAGAGAUGAAGGCUGCGCCCGCUGAUAAACUACGCCGACUCUGAUGAUUGUCCGUGAAGGAGGAGCCUUCACCGCUGUCGCGCUACAUCGACUCUGAUAAAGACUCGCGUGUGUUUCCGCUAGAAAAACAAUGUAAUAAGCUUGUUAAUCAAGAGUUGUAAAGCAAAUGUGUUGUAAUCUUGUUUCUCACGAUGUAUGACUACGAUAACAGCUGAUAUAUGAUAAUGCGAUGGUUCAAUUUUUGAAUUAUCACAUUAUAAUUCGAAUCUGUGGAUUUUUCCCUUUGUGGAAAAAUCUGGGUCGUUUCAGUUGGUAUCAGAGCCAUACUUGACCCUAGGACGAGACCAUUAGGACCAAACACUAGUUUAGAAGCCAAACAUUCUAUCUUUUGUAGAGUUAUAGAUGCUAACACUUGUUUUCCCCCCUCCGCCUUGAAUUCUGUUGCUAACUGACCUCCCUGUUUCAUAAAGUUGACCGUUGGAAUCUUUUCCCAUACCCGCCCACGCUAGAUCGGUAGUCGUGUGAGACUUUGAAGGUCUGUGAGUCGCCUCAAGUCAACACUAUGCAUUAGGAGUUGUAAUGCUGAUUGAGUGCUUGGAUCUUAUGUUCUUGCGUUUCGUCUGCUUCUUGUUGUUUGAGUGUAUGUCAUAGAACUGUUUUAUGCGAGAAAAACUCUGGAUCCCGUCCAAUCUAGCUGGCUAAACCUAAGACUGUCCCGAAACUAGAUAAGUGACCCUGGCUAACAGAGCCGAAAAAGGGUUUAAAGCUGAUGCAUCAUGUCUUGCCCAUCUAUUUCAAAACUGUUUUUGGCUUCCAACUAAACUUGUCUUCAAAAUUGCCCUUUUGUUGAAAAAGUUUCUCUCCUUUUUGGUUGAAAAAGUUUAUCUCUUUUACAAAACAUCUUGGUUUCAAAAGGAAAAGUGUUUCAAAACUCUCUCAAUAUUCUUCCCUUUUCACAAAUAAAGCAAUUUUAACCCCCCUUUCUCAACUCAAACUCUAUUUAUGAAACGGUUUAAAAACAAGUUAUCUUCAAAAGGUGUUACCAAUCCUCUUUCUGAAAAUCAAAAGUUCUACCUUCAACCAACAAAGUGGUUUUCAAACCAAAGAUCUUUGGCUCAGUUUUGUUUUAAAUGUCUUUGAUUUUAUCUCAAGAGCCAAAUUCCUUUUAAAAUUCAACCUUGCCUUAAAAGAAAAAGGAAUUCCCAGUGAUUUAUUAAACAAAAACCAUUGUGAAAAGUUUUUGUUUAGCAACCUUUCAAAAAAAAGAACGAAAUGGACUUUCAAGUUUCAAAAAUGUUUUGGUUGUGAAGGCUCUAACUUUCAAAAUGCGAAAUGAUUUCUUGUUAUUUUCAAAACUAAUUUGUUUGACUCUAAUAAAAAGGGAGCAAUACCUUGUUUUAAAGAAAAUAGUAAUAAUAAAAUGAAAGAAUUUUAAAAUCUUUUGAUUUGAAAUCUUUUAUAAUAAAACCUUCAAAAUAUUUGGUUCUCAAAACUUGUAUUGAAUUCAACCCUCUGCAAAAGCUCUCUUCAUUUUGAAGUCUCAAAAAAAAAAUUGACUUUGUAAAAUCGCUUUCACUCCAUUUAUGAAACCUGUUUUUUCCGAAAAACAUUCCUUUCAAAAGCUUUUUGCAAAGAGUGAUGCAUGAAAAACUGCUGGUGAAAGCCAACAACCCUAGCUAUGUUUAAGCCUGCCAUGCACUCCUAGAGAGCCAGAUGUUCAUCAACCUGGUGCGAUUCUUGGAUACCCAUCGCCUUAUUGUGAGAAUUUGGAUACCCAACACCAGCGAGUGAGCCUUGGAUACAUCCUGAACAUGACUCGCCCCCACAUGGAAAAGGUUUGUGGAGCCAUCUUUCUGAUAGCAAAACAACUCAGAAGUAAGAAAAGCUUUGGGAACGACACCCGCGUUUCUUCACCGACCGAGCAACGCCUAAAUCUCGGGGACGAGAUUCCUGUAAGGAGGGUGGACUGUAACAUCCCAGAUUUUCACGAAAACCAAAAAUACGAGUUUUUUUAAAAUUUUUCCUGUAAUCGUGUGAAUCAUAUAGUAUUUAGGUCAAACUCGAUCCUAACCCGCUAACAAAUCGUGGCAUACAUAUAGAUUUGUUUGUAGACGGGUCGUCUUAAGUUGGAUCUUGUUAGGGUUUUGAGUUUCUUUUGGAGUGCACAAAUCCGUAGCAAAGCCUUCCCGAAUUUUCGUUGAGCCUAUCUCAAAGGCGAAGCGGAUCCCUUCUCAACCUUUUCGUUGGAGUACGUCUCAAACUCCUUUUGAUCCUUUUGAACUCUCCCUGAAAUUCCCUUCUCUCUCUCUUUGAUCUUAUCUAAAUCUCCUCCGCAAAAUCUAUCUUAAAUUCAUGGUAACUCAUCUCAAUCUCUUGUUGAGUUCUCUCUCGAAUGCCCCUCAUUUUUUUUUCCCUUUUAAAAUUUCUCUCAAAGCCCUUGAGUCAAAUUCGUAAAUGGAAGAUCCAUCUCCUUUCAUGGGCCAAUUCUUUCCUCCUCUUCCUCCCUCCCUCGGCCCAGCCUGGGCACCCUUCCCCCCUGUCCGGCCCAACUCGCGCGCGCCAAGGCCCAGUCUGCCCCUUACCCCCCAGCCAGGUCGGCCCACCUCGUUCCCCCUGUCUCCCCUCCGAGGCCCAGCUCUUUCCUUGGCCCAUCCAGUGCCGCGCUGGCCCAUUCGCUUCUCCCUGCUCUGGCCCAAGUCGUGGCCGGCCCAGCAGCCAGCGCCCCAGCCCCAACCCUAGCAGGGAGCUGGACACCUGAGCCCCAGAGCCGCCGCCGCCGUCGCCCAAGGCAGAGCCGCGCCAGCGCUCGCGCCUGCCACGGCUUCCGUGCGACCCCGCAUCCACCGCCGCGUGUCCCGCUGCGGACACGGACGCCGAGGAUGGCCGCAGCGUCCCUGGAGCCCUAGCGCCCGCGCUAUAAAAGCGGCAGCAGCCGCUCGCCCUUCUUCUACCCGCCGCCGCCGCCAUAGCCGACUCGAAGCUCCGCACCCUCACCAAGCGCCUCGACCCCGACCUCGCCCCGCGCACCUGCACCACCGAGCUCGGUCACGCCGUGACGCCGUCGAUCGCCACCACGAUGUCGCCCGCAACUGCGUCGCCCGAGCGUCUCGUCCUCGGCACCACCUCGGCACUCGCACCGCGCCCUCGCCGAGCAGCAGCAGAGCCGCGGCCAUGGCCUCGCCCUGCCGACGCCGCCAAGCACCACUGCGCCCGCCUCGGCCGUGCCCCUAC
This 7759-nucleotide long non-coding RNA is filed under the name Sorghum bicolor (sorghum). Its description in RNAcentral is "long non-coding RNA (SBIC_LNC000089)". The record is from RNAcentral. Lineage: Eukaryota; Viridiplantae; Streptophyta; Magnoliopsida; Poales; Poaceae.